RNAcentral lists this ribosomal RNA (569 nucleotides) under Diaporthe sp. Its description in RNAcentral is "eukaryotic LSU rRNA". The stretch from base 194 to 347 matches the Rfam family "5.8S ribosomal RNA". Lineage: Eukaryota; Fungi; Ascomycota; Sordariomycetes; Diaporthales; Diaporthaceae. The record is from RNAcentral.
CCUGCGGAGGGAUCAUUGCUGGAACGCGCCCCAGGCGCACCCAGAAACCCUUUGUGAACUUAUACCUUACUGUUGCCUCGGCGCAUGCCGGCCCCCCUGGGGGCCCCUCCUUCUGGAGGAGCAGGCACGCCGGCGGCCAACCUAACUCUUGUUUUUACACUGAAACUCUGAGAAUAAAACAUAAAUGAAUCAAAACUUUCAACAACGGAUCUCUUGGUUCUGGCAUCGAUGAAGAACGCAGCGAAAUGCGAUAAGUAAUGUGAAUUGCAGAAUUCAGUGAAUCAUCGAAUCUUUGAACGCACAUUGCGCCCUCUGGUAUUCCGGAGGGCAUGCCUGUUCGAGCGUCAUUUCAACCCUCAAGCCUGGCUUGGUGAUGGGGCACUGCUUUUACCCAAAAGCAGGCCCUGAAAUUCAGUGGCGAGCUCGCCAGGACCCCGAGCGCAGUAGUUAAACCCUCGCUUUGGAAGGCCCUGGCGGUGCCCUGCCGUUAAACCCCCAACUUCUGAAAAUUUGACCUCGGAUCAGGUAGGAAUACCCGCUGAACUUAAGCAUAUCAAAAGGCGGAGGAA